Molecule: unclassified non-coding RNA, 345 nt
Filed under: soil metagenome
Description: partial contains 5.8S ribosomal RNA, internal transcribed spacer 2, and large subunit ribosomal RNA
Rfam family: 5.8S ribosomal RNA (bases 2-121)
Source: RNAcentral
UAUGAAGAACGCAGCGAAAUGCGAUAAGUAAUGCGAAUUGCAGAAUUUCCGUGAGUCAUCGAAUCUUUGAACGCACAUUGCGCCCACUGGUAUUCCGGUGGGCAUGCCUGUUCGAGCGUCAUUAUCCUCCCUCAAACCCCGGGUUUGGUGUUGGACCCAAGUUGUGUGAACAACUGGUCUCAAAGACAAUGACGGCGUCCGUGGGACCCUCGGUGCAACGAGCUUUUAGGAGCACGCAUCGAGUUGCAAGGACCUUCCGGGCCGGUCUCCUUUACCAUUUUACAAGGUUGACCUCGGAUCAGGUAGGAAUACCCGCUGAACUUAAGCAUAUCAAUAAGCGGAGGA